GGCCUGUUUUCAAGCCGGGCUGUCGGUCUUCUGCACUCAGACUGGAACUUACACCAGUGGCUCGCCCAGGCCUCCAGCUUGCCGACUGCUGAUUUUUGGACUUGACAGCCUCCACCUCCACAGCGGCAUGAAAAAUUCCUCAUCAUCAAUCUCUCUAUGCAUAUAUCCUAUCUAUCCUUUCGGUUCUAUUUCUCUGGGGACCCCUAGAACAACACGCAAGGUGAGAGGCCCUUGAGGAGGACUGACUGUGGCUCGCUGGUCUAAAGCUCUAAGCUGCUACUGCUGCUGACUCCAGCUCUGCAGAAGAUACAGUGGUGACAUCUCCUGGGUUCUCCUCCCCACCAGACUCGGAGAUUUUAACUUGAUCAUCUCUGCAAAGACCUUAUCUUCAAAUACAGUUACAUUCUGAGGUCCUGGUAGUUAGGGCUGCAACACCCGAAUUGGAGGGGACGUAAUCCAGCUCCUGACAAUACCGCAUAUGACAGCUGCGUCUCUGCCUGUAGUACUGUUUUUUCCAGUGAAAGCAUCUGUGAAUGUAUUCAGAAAGCCUCCUUUUGGGGCCAGGCCUUGCAGAGAAUCCUUCAGAAACUGGACAACGCCACCCAAGGCAGUCAGUGGGGAGGACGCAUUGGGUGCCUCAUUGGUCCCUGGAUCUGCCUCACAGUCCUCUAUGUUCUUCCUCAUUCCCUCUCCUCUUUCUCCGCUUUGGUUGACCUUGACGCUCAUUCCUGGGGAAGGCCCCGGUGGGAGCAGUGCAGUGACAAGAGGAGCCUGUUUCCGUCAGCACCCUCACGCUCUCCAGUGGUCCACUGGAGACACCUGUGACCUCCUCAUGCUAAGGAGCCCAGAGUGGGCAGCCCUCGGGCCCAGGCUCCAUCUGGGUGAGGCCUGUUUUAUUAUCAAUAUUCACCACAAUCAUUUGUGGGAGUGUAAUGCUCAUAUUCCCAUUUAAUAGAUGAAUAAACUGAGGCAAGAUAUAGUGACUCAGCUGAGGCCACACCGCAGUUUAAUGGGGAAGCCAGGAUGAGAGCUGGCGGCUUCUAUGUCUGUGAUCUACACUCUGGUGGCAGAGGACGUCAGAGACCCAUGUCAACGGUGAGGAGGUGACAUGCUGGUCCCUUCCAUAAAAGCUGUUUCAUAAAAUUAAAACACACACACAGUAAAGAUCCAGAUUUACAGAAGUGAGCAUGAGGGGCUAUUUGCCAGUCAACAGAUCUCCCCCAGUGGUUCUUCACUUGGGGCUGAGAUGCUACUGACCGGCAGGGCCUGGGGAGAGAACUUCUUGCUCCCCCUAGAGCUGGCUGACCCAUACGCAGGGGAUUCUGAGCGCUAGGGGCUGGGAGCAGCAUGUGCCACGUGUUUCCCAGGAGUUAGUCAUGUUUGCUCCUAAAACCUAUUGCAAUCGAGGAAUCUAAUUAAACAACACAGCAACUGCAGAAACAGUGCAAAAAGAAUGAGUGACUGUUUCUAUGAAAACUUAGAUGAACUACUUUGGAAAGAUUCAAUAAAGAGCAUGCCUAAAUAUAUACACUGGGGCUAGGAGCAGUGGUUCAAACCUGUCACCCCAGUGCUUUGGGAGGCUAAGGUGGGAAGGUGGUUUGAGGCCAGGAAGUUGAAACCAGCCUGGGCAACAUAGCAAGACCCUGUCUCUACAAAAAAAAAAAAAAAAA
This 1670-nucleotide long non-coding RNA is filed under the name Macaca fascicularis (crab-eating macaque). RNAcentral describes it as "lncRNA (ENSMFAG00000048886.1)". Lineage: Eukaryota; Metazoa; Chordata; Mammalia; Primates; Cercopithecidae. The record is from RNAcentral.